GGGGAUGACAGGCUUCGACAGCGUGAUUCUAGGGUUCGCUUGUUUCUGUUAGGGAUGGCAUCGGUUCCCUAUACCCACUUGAUGCACACUUAUUUGCAAACACUGCAAACACUGCAUUCCGUAACGCAGCUGCUAAGGGUGAAGAGUUCGUAAGAUCUCUAGCUCCGCAGUUCGCUAUGGCUGCAUAAGUUCGCCCUCGCGCGAACGCGUCACCUUCCCGACUUCCACUACGGAAAUGUGGCGUCACUUAGUGGAACGACUUAUCACUUGGCGUGAUGAUACUGUUGUAUUAGCGCUGACCCUCUCUACUUAUUUUUAGUCCUAUCUUUAUGAGUAGAGCGAUCUGGAAUGGACAUAACAGUAUGAACACUUGCUCUACAUGUUGGACCCGGGUUCAAUUCCCGGCAUCUCCACCA
RNAcentral lists this transfer-messenger RNA (416 nucleotides) under Candidatus Peribacteraceae. RNAcentral's name for it is "UBA2170 sp018652955 Standard tmRNA". It matches the Rfam family "transfer-messenger RNA". Rfam says of the family: Bacterial tmRNA, also known as 10Sa RNA or SsrA, is named for its dual tRNA and mRNA-like properties. Its role is to liberate the mRNA from a stalled ribosome. Lineage: Bacteria; Candidatus Peregrinibacteriota; Candidatus Peribacteria; Candidatus Peribacterales. RNAcentral also lists the same sequence under 1 other name. The record is from RNAcentral.